CCUCGUCUCCCUCCCUCCACCCAGACGGCGGAGGACCACCGCCCGCCCAACCCCGAGCCGCCGCGCCGCCCCUUCGAUCGGACCGCCGCCUGCCUUCCUCCCUUUAUGAUGGGUUCUUCAUCUUGGUCUACCCCCCCACCGGCCUUUGGCUCAGUCACGGGCUCUUCAUCAUUGUUCUCCACGCCGACCUCUGGUGCCGCCAUGGGCUCUUCUCCAUCCUUGUUCUGUUUCACGCCGGCAUCUGGUGCAGCCACGGGCUCUUCUCCAUACUCGUUUGGUAUAAUGCCGGCCUCUGGUGCAGCCAUGGGCCCUUCUUCAUCCUCGUUUGGUUCCACGCUGGUAGCCACGGGCUUUUUUCCAUCCUCUGGUUUCACACCAUACGCUGGUCCAGCCAUGGGAUCCUCGUUUGGUUCCAUGCCGGUAGCCACUGGCCUUUUUCCAUCCUCGUCUGGUUUCACGCCUUCCUCUGGUGCAGCCACGGGCUCCUCUUCAUCUUGGUGUGGCCCGGCAUUUGGGCGAUCCCCUAACGCCUUCGGGCACCCCAUGCCCCAUCAGGCACCUUUUUCAUCCAACACACCAUUUGGCUCUACAACAGGCCAACAUUAUUCACAUGUUCCUACCUUUGGGGUGCAAUCUGAGCCUUCAUUUGGGCCCUUUGGCCGAGUGUCUAAAAAAGGCAGCAGGGUUUCUGCUUAUACCAGGACUCCUGGUGAUGAUCCUGAACGUAAUUACUAUGUAUCUAUUUCAGCAAUGCCAGUAUUCAAGAGCAAAUCUCAUGAGGAGCUUCGACAUGAAAAUUAUAAGAAAGGAGACAAAGGUGGUUUCAACUUACAGGAAAGCAGAGCUCCUUGGGCUUAUCAUUCCUCGCAGCCCCAGCCCCAGCCCCCAGUGAAUGCCUUAACAAAUCCUGUCAAGCCAUCAUUGUUUUCAUACUCUUCUGAGCCAUCCUCAGCACCUGUGGGACUGCAAUCCUCAGCACAUGGUACCACCAACCCAUUUUGGCUGCGCCCUCCAGCACCCCAGUCACCAUUAUUCUCAUACCCUCCCGAGCCAAUCCACAGGCCAUCAUGGUUUUCAAGCUCUUUUGCACCAUCUACUACAUGUUGGGAAAACGUAUCCAAUAACACAGCGGCAUAUACAGCUCCUGCAGAUACAUCUUCUGCUCAAGGCCAUAUGUUUAGCCAAAAUUUGUUCCCUCCAAAAUCUACUCAAUCUGGAGGAAGUUCACUCAGCUCUUCGGUCGCCCAUUCAGCACCAGCUCCAUCGCCAAACGGUCACUCCACUACUAUAAAUAUUGAUCAAGCUGAGAAAACUGUGGAGUUGGUACUACCAGUUGACAUUACUACUGUAAGGAUUAGAUUUUCUCCAAAGAAUGAUGAUACUGGCAGUCGUGCUACAGAGGUUCAUCAUAAUGUUAAAGCUUCAGCAACACCAGUGUCUUUCUGUAUCUAUCCUGGAGAGAACCAAGAGCUAACUAUCCAAUCAGUGGAGCAGCAUGACGGGAAACCAUCUAGUUCAACAGGAUCCGGUGGGGAACAGAAAGGGUAUAUCAACGGUGCUGUCCUGGCUAGGAGUAAUCCAUUUGAUCCUGUGAUAACUCCAUUUGGUGGUGCCCCUGUGAGUGAGAGUGUGCUACCUCGGCUCUAUAAGGCAGACUAUUACACCUUGCCGUCGAUCGCAGAGCUUGCUGCACGAGAAAGCAAUGAGCCAGGUUGUUGCUCACAUGUGAAGGACUUCACGGUCGGCAGGCAUGGCUACGGCAGCAUCAAGUUUGAUGGAGAAACCGAUGUGAGGAAGCUUGACAUCGCUUCCAUAGUGGAGUUCAAGGACCGCGAGAUCCUGGUCUACACAGAUGAGAGCAAGAGACCUCCUGUGGGGCAGGAGCUCAACAAGCCUGCAGAGAUCACACUCCUGAAUGUGAAGUGCGUCGAUAAGAAGACCGGGUUGCAGUUGACGGAGGGGGCAGAAGUCGACAGGUAUAAGGAGAUUCUGGCGCAAUGGACCGAGAAGAAUGGCGCUGAAUUCGUGGCGUUUGAUGCCGUGAAGGGGGAGUGGAAGUUCAGGAUCAAGCACUUUUAGUCAGUAGCUAGGUUCUUGGCAAUAUUAAGAUUCCAGUCUCAAGAUAGGAGAGUACCAAUACCAUGGCUCUAUGGCCAUGUAAAAAAUACUCUGUUCCUGCAUCUUCUAGUGAGUCUCUUUGUUAGUCGACAGGCAGGCCUGUCAGAAACAAUUUUAGAUCUGUGGCUGGAGCAUAUUUGAUUGUUUGGCGUUGAUUGAUAUCCCCAAGUUUGUGGAAAAAACACAUAUAUGAGCACACAUCUUUAUUUCCUUGAGGAAAUCUUGAGACAAGCUAAAACUACUCAGAGAAGAGAAGACGCAUCGCCAGCCAGCCUCACCUCUCUGGCACUGGCCUAGCCGUAGCCGCCGCCGCUGCCGUGGAAGAUGCGCACGGAUGCACCCUGCCGGCGGUGGUCCACGAAUCACAGUUUUUCUUGUUGAUCUUGUCUUCUUCACCGAUGUUCUUGUUCUUCACGGCCGUCUUGUUGGCGGCUUCUUGUUGGUUGAUCCUCUGCCUGACCUUCUCCUGCCGCACAUGUAUCUGCGCAUAGCUGAACCCCAUGGAAGCCAUGUUUGACCAGGCGCAGCUGAAAGAUGCAGGCUAGCUACCUUCCUCUCUAAGCAAGAUAAUAAUCAGAUCGUGUGUAGAUGCUUGUGUGUGCAUACAUAUGGAUACAGCCGGGUGUAUUUAUAUGCUCGGGCUGCAAUUAUUGGGGGCGGGGCACCGAGUUUCUUGAUGAU
RNAcentral lists this ribosomal RNA (2799 nucleotides) under Triticum aestivum (bread wheat). RNAcentral's name for it is "partial small subunit ribosomal RNA". The record is from RNAcentral. Lineage: Eukaryota; Viridiplantae; Streptophyta; Magnoliopsida; Poales; Poaceae.